Long non-coding RNA from Enhydra lutris kenyoni (northern sea otter), 1970 nucleotides. RefSeq lists it as uncharacterized. The transcript has 3 exons. NCBI's taxonomy places the organism in Eukaryota, Metazoa, Chordata, Mammalia, Carnivora, Mustelidae. The record is from RefSeq and is a predicted model, not a curated record.
UUACUUACUUAUUUGAGAAAGAGAGCACAAACGAGAGAGGAAGAGGGGAUCUCAAGUACCAAGGAAAGCAGCGGCAGCCCCAGCCAGUGGGGCAGCUCCCCGUUCUGGAAAUGCACAAGAUAAGAGAAUCUGUUCCCGCUGAGCUUAUCGAUAUGGGGGCCAAGUCCCAGCGAAAGGGCCAGGGAAAUUAUCCAGGCAAGUGCAGUGCCCCUAUGGGAUCCAGACGAUGGAGUUUCUCUUCCUGGGCAAGAGGCCGAGAAAAUGAGCAGCACCAGCGCACACCCCACCCUCUGAGAGCACCUGCAUGGGCCUCAAGGUACUCGCUGCCUUACAGAGUGGAUUCUUCUAGCCUGCAGGGAGGCUUGGCCCAAUGAGGAGGACCCCCUGAGCACGCGCCCUGGAAAUCGAUAGAAAAGGUGCUGAACCCCCACCCCAGGCUCCCAGAAUUCAGAGAGCUGAUGCCCCAGCCCAGGGAGGAGGCCUGGCCACCAUUCUUUCAGCAGAUACCACAGACUGGAACAACACCCCAGGUAACUGCCAAAGGAGUCGUCGGGGGCCAUCCACCGGAGUUCCCAACCAGUAAGGCAUUGCCAAGUUUAUUUUGUUGUCCCUUUCCUGCUGACGGUUCUUUUUUUUUUUUAAAGUUCAUUUAUUGAAUCAUCUCCACACCCAGAGUGGGACUUGAACUCACGACCCUGAGAUCCAGAGUCACACGCUGUACUGACUGAGCCACUGAGGCGCCCCUGAGCAAGGGCUCUAACUAUGGUUUGGUUUGUGAGGUCCAUUAUCUGGCCCAACCCAAGCUUUCCCCUGUCACCGAGGUGCAAAGCAGGCUGCCUCCCUUAAGGGAUUAGAGACACUGAGUAUGAUGUAUGGAAAUCCUCAUCAAGUGGACAGUGAUUGGGGUCACGUUUUGAGGGUCAUGGUGUGCAAGACUGGGCAGAAGAACAGGGAAUGGGGGCUCCAUCUCCCCGUUCAGCCAUGAGCAGCAUGGUUGGGAGAAAGGAAGAAUGGACUAUUAAAGCAGCAGGUUAAACUGCUAACAGGUAAAGCCAGCUUGGCAGGGUGGACAAAGAGACUGUCGCAGGCUUAAGGCAUUGGAAUGAUCAACCCACCACCCCAUCUGCCAGCCUGGGGACCCCUGACAAGGCACCCAAUCCUGCAAAGCUGUUGGGCGUCUCCGGAGACAGCGAUGGCCCUGACUCUUGCUGGGACCAGCAUGCUGUGCUGUUGAGGACACCAAGCCCCAUCCCACCAGGGAGAGGUGUUAUCUACUGGAACUGACAACGGGAAGUCCCCCCGAGCUGCGUGAGUUACUUCAGUCUUCAGUCUCCACUGGGAUCCUGUUGUCCUGCUAUUAAGACCGAUCUGUGGAAUCCCACUAAACCUGGAAUGGACCACACACCCCAGAAAGAGGGGAGAACACACAGAUCCUGAACCUGUUCUGCCCCUCGUCCUGUCUCUUCACAUCUCCCCUGGCCAACAGGUCAGGCCUGGUACGUACAACCCAGCCAGGUUCCUAAAGCGGCAGCCACAUUAACAAGACUUCCCUGUACAAGUUUCUACUACAUAGCUGUCUUUUUGGCCUUAGACUUGGCUGCCCCGGGGGUGUCCGGUCAUGGGAUGGGCACCCAAGGGAACUACCUUUCUACUGAGGACCCACUUGUGUACCUGGCAAAGGAGUCAAUCCACACCUGUGGGGAUUCGGGCAGCUGUCCCUCUUUAGCUUGUCAGGAUUGCUGUGGUGGGUACCACUCCUCCAGGAAGCGGAGCAGAAGGCACACAAGCAGUUCAUUAAGGAAGCAUAAGCUAGGACAGGUGCUCCUAAUUCAGCGGAUAUUACCAAUACUGAUCCAGAAAUCUGGCCUAUGGCACAUCUCUGAAUAACACUGGGCAUGAAAGGAGGUGCCCAGAUGGCUUAGUCAUUGGGUGUCUGCUUUCGGCUCAGAUCAUGAUCCCAGGGUCCUAGG